RNAcentral lists this long non-coding RNA (287 nucleotides) under Homo sapiens (human). RNAcentral describes it as "HSALNT0379987". The record is from RNAcentral. Lineage: Eukaryota; Metazoa; Chordata; Mammalia; Primates; Hominidae.
CCUGGGCUUUGCUCCACUUGGAGUCAGCUGAUUGGCGGGAGGGCAUCUGAAAUUGAGAGGAGGUUUCAGGACGUUUACCCAGCCCUUUAGUGGGGAUCUGUCUGGGACUGUGCAGUCUGAAUCUGCAACUGUAAAAGGCAUGGUCCCUGGAAACAACCCUGGUGCUGUCCAGCAGCGUGUUGAACAGGAAGUUGUGUGUGUGAAUACAAGGUUCCAUAAAAUUCCUGAUGGAGAUCGUGGAGUGAAAAGACAUUAUCACAGAAUUCCAACAAGGCUUGAAGGCAGAA